CGGGGGCUAAUACCCAAUGUGCUCGGUGAUUCGGUUCAUCGAGUAAAGCUCCGGCGCUUCGGGAGAGGCCUGCGGCCCAUCAGCUAGUUGGUAGGGUAACGGCCUACCAAGGCAGAGACGGGUAGGGGGCGUGAGAGCGCGGACCCCCACACUGGCACUGAGAUACGGGCCAGACUCCUACGGGAGGCAGCAGUAAGGGAUAUUGCGCAAUGGACGAAAGUCAGACGCAGCGACGCCGCGUGGGCGAUGAAGGCCUUCGGGUUGUAAAGCCCUUUUAUGGGGGAAGAGAAAAAGGACGGUACCCCAGGAAUAAGUCCCGGCUAACUACGUGCCAGCAGCCGCGGUAAAACGUAGGGGACAAGCGUUAUCCGGAUUCACUGGGCGUAAAGAGCGUUGAGGCGGUUCCGUAAGUUGGGCGUGAAAGCUCCGGGCUUAACUCGGAGAUGUCGUUCAAUACUGCGGGGCUUGAGGACAGCAGAGGAAGGUGGAAUUCCCGGUGUAGUGGUGAAAUGCGUAGAUAUCGGGAGGAACACCCGUGGCGAAGGCGGCCUUCUGGGCUGUUCCUGACGCUGAAGGCGAAAGCUAGGGGAGCGAACGGGAUUAGAUACCCCGGUAGUCCUAGCUGUAAACGAUGGAUGCUGGGUGUGGGGGGUGUAAAUUCCCUCUGUGCCGAAGCAAACGCGUUAAGCAUCCCGCCUGGGGACUACGGCCGCAAGGCUAAAACUCAAACGAAUUGACGGGGGCCCGCACAAGCAGCGGAGCGUGUGGUUUAAUUCGAUGCUACACGAAGAACCUUACCUGGGUUUGACAUGCACGUGGUAGGGAACCGAAAGGGGACCGACCUUCGGGAGCGUGCACAGGUGCUGCAUGGCUGUCGUCAGCUCGUGCCGUGAGGUGUCGGGUUAAGUCCCGUAACGAGCGCAACCCUUGCCCUUAGUUACAAGUGUCUAAGGGGACUGCCCGGGACAACUGGGAGGAAGGUGGGGAUGACGUCAAGUCAGCAUGGCCUUUAUAUCCAGGGCUACACACACGCUACAAUGGCCGGUACUAUAGGUUGCGAAGUCGUGAGGCGGAGCCAAUC
Molecule: ribosomal RNA, 1081 nt
Filed under: uncultured organism
Description: bacterial SSU rRNA
Rfam family: Bacterial small subunit ribosomal RNA
Source: RNAcentral